This 551-nucleotide ribosomal RNA is filed under the name uncultured bacterium. RNAcentral describes it as "bacterial SSU rRNA". It matches the Rfam family "Bacterial small subunit ribosomal RNA", at positions 746 to 1296 of the family's 1533-position model. The record is from RNAcentral.
CUGAGGAGCGAAAGCAUGGGGAGCGAACAGGAUUAGAUACCCUGGUAGUCCAUGCCGUAAACGUUGGGCACUAGGUGUGGGGGCCAUUCCACGGUUUCCGCGCCGCAGCUAACGCAUUAAGUGCCCCGCCUGGGGAGUACGGCCGCAAGGCUAAAACUCAAAGGAAUUGACGGGGGCCCGCACAAGCGGCGGAGCAUGCGGAUUAAUUCGAUGCAACGCGAAGAACCUUACCAAGGCUUGACAUGUGCCGGACCGUCCCAGAGAUGGGGCUUCCCUUCGGGGCCGGUUCACAGGUGGUGCAUGGUUGUCGUCAGCUCGUGUCGUGAGAUGUUGGGUUAAGUCCCGCAACGAGCGCAACCCUCGUUCCAUGUUGCCAGCACUUCGGGUGGGGACUCAUGGGAGACUGCCGGGGUCAACUCGGAGGAAGGUGGGGACGACGUCAAAUCAUCAUGCCCCUUAUGUCUUGGGCUUCACGCAUGCUACAAUGGCCGGUACAAAGGGUUGCGAUACUGUGAGGUGGAGCCAAUCCCAGAAAGCCGGUCUCAGUUCGG